CGCAUCUGUGCAUGCAGCAUAUCAAUAAGCGGAGGAAAAGAAACUAACAAGGAUUCCCCUAGUAACGGCGAGUGAAGCGGGAAGAGCUCAAAUUUGAAAUCUUAAAGGGUUUCCCUUUACGAAUUGUAGUUUAAAGAAGUGUUUUCUGUUGAGGUUUUGGUAAAAGUUCUUUGGAAUAGGACAUCAUAGAGGGUGAGAAUCCCGUAUUUGACCUUUACUUUCAACUUUGUGAUACACUUUCAAAGAGUCGGAUUGUUUGGGAAUGCAGCCUAAAUUGGGUGGUAAAUCUCACCUAAAGCUAAAUAUUUGCGAGAGACCGAUAGCGAACAAGUACCGUGAGGGAAAGAUGAAAAGAACUUUGAAAAGAGAGUUAAACAGUACGUGAAAUUGUCAAAAGGGAAGCGUUUGACACCAGUGUUGUUUUUCUGAAAAUCAAUUAAAGAACUGUUUAUGCUAAGUUGUUUAGACUUUAUCAGCUAUCUGCUUAGUUUUGAGCUUUUCUUUAAUGCACUUUUCAGUUAACAAGUCAACAUCAAUUUCUUUUGCUGUAAAAAAGCUUGAGGAAGGUGGCUUGAGAUUCGUCUUAAGUGUUUAUAGCCUCUUGCCUAUGCAGUCGGAGAGAUUGAGGUCUGCAGCGUAGAUCCUUCGGGGCUAAAUGCAUUUGUGCUAAGUUAUAGCAUUUUAUAGACAACUUGUUGACUAUGAUUUGUCUUGUAGCUUACUCGCUUAUGUUAUUUUACCUACGCUUAGGAUGUUGACUGAUAUGUAGUCGUA
RNAcentral lists this ribosomal RNA (774 nucleotides) under uncultured Neocallimastigales. RNAcentral describes it as "partial large subunit ribosomal RNA". It matches the Rfam family "Eukaryotic large subunit ribosomal RNA", at positions 26 to 644 of the family's 3401-position model. Lineage: Eukaryota; Fungi; Neocallimastigomycota; Neocallimastigomycetes; Neocallimastigales. The record is from RNAcentral.